RNAcentral lists this ribosomal RNA (465 nucleotides) under uncultured bacterium. RNAcentral's name for it is "partial 16S ribosomal RNA". It matches the Rfam family "Bacterial small subunit ribosomal RNA", at positions 28 to 507 of the family's 1533-position model. The record is from RNAcentral.
GACGAACGCUGGCGGCGUGCUUAACACAUGCAAGUCGAACGGAAAGGCCCUGCUUGCAGGGUACUCGAGUGGCGAACGGGUGAAUAACACGUGGGUGAUCUGCCCUGCACUUCGGGAUAAGCCUGGGAAACUGGGUCUAAUACCGGAUAGGAGCCAUUUUUAGUGUGAUGGUUGGAAAGUUUUUUCGGUGUAGGAUGAGCUCGCGGCCUAUCAGCUUGUUGGUGGGGUAAUGGCCUACCAAGGCGGCGACGGGUAGCCGGCCUGAGAGGGUGGACGGCCACAUUGGGACUGAGAUACGGCCCAGACUCCUACGGGAGGCAGCGGUGGGGAAUAUUGCACAAUGGGCGCAAGCCUGAUGCAGCGACGCCGCGUGGGGGAUGACGGCCUUCGGGUUGUAAACUCCUUUCGCUAGGGACGAAGCUUUUUGUGACGGUACCUAGAUAAGAAGCACCGGCUAACUACGUG